Molecule: small nuclear RNA, 94 nt
Filed under: Castor canadensis (American beaver)
Lineage: Eukaryota; Metazoa; Chordata; Mammalia; Rodentia; Castoridae
Source: RNAcentral
GUGCUUGUUUCAGCAGCACAUACACUAAAAAUGGAAUGAUGCAGAGAAGAUUAGCAAGAAUGACAUGCAAAUUCAUGAAGCAUUCCAUUAAAAA